AUACUUACCUGGCAAGGGAGAUACCGUCAUCAUGAAGGUGGUUUUCCCAAGGUGAGGCUUAUCCUUUGUACUCCAAGUGCACUGACACCUGUGAUUUCCCCAAUUGUGUGAAACUCAACUGCAUAAUUUGUAGUAGUAGGGGAAUGUGUUUGCAUUCUCCCCUG
Molecule: small nuclear RNA, 164 nt
Organism: Pteronotus mesoamericanus
Lineage: Eukaryota; Metazoa; Chordata; Mammalia; Chiroptera; Mormoopidae
Product: U1 spliceosomal RNA
Exons: 1
Source: RefSeq, a predicted model, not a curated record